RNAcentral lists this long non-coding RNA (1790 nucleotides) under Homo sapiens (human). Its description in RNAcentral is "HSALNT0348666". The record is from RNAcentral. Lineage: Eukaryota; Metazoa; Chordata; Mammalia; Primates; Hominidae.
AGAAGUCCUACCACUGAAAGGAUGUGCGGGUAGAAAUGAGCAAUUGCAACUAGAAGAGCCUGUGUGCCCACAAUCAAGGGUAAGGAGGAGUGUCAUGGAGCAGGUCAAAUCCAAGAUGGGUGUUCCUGAUCUGCCUGUAGCUCUCCUCCAACCCAGACUCCUUUCAAACUGUGCCUCCACCAUCUUCAAUAUGGAGCUUCCAAGAUUGCCCUGCUGCCCUGCAUCAAGCCUGCAAAAGAGGAUAGGGGGUCAGGCCACUCAUAUUUCAUUGGCCCAAAUUCAGUCACAUGGCCACACUCACUGCAAGGGAAGCUGGGAAAUGGAGUCUAGCUCUGUGCCCAAGAAGCAAAGAAAAACAGAUUUGAUGAAGACUUAGUCAAUCUCUGCAACAAUGAAACAGAUAAGAAGGCAAAAGAAAAAGAAUUUUACAACCUGAGGAGGGAGAGAAAAUUCAGUUAACAAAAAGAUAGACUACAUGCCAAGGUAGUCUGCAGAAUUCUACCUACCCAAAUUAUGUGUUAAAUUGUGAAAGAAGUUAUGAUAAAAAUAGGAUGAGGGUGAAAUUUGAAAAAUGCUCUGGGGACACAUAGCACACUCCUUCCCUGGUGACACAGUAGGCAGAACCAAGCCAACUAUAAAAGGAAGCUCAGUGUGUUUAAUCUGUUGCUCGGAUAAAACCAUCCUGGAAAAACUCCCAGUUUUACAAUCUAACUGAUCAUCAGUAUCUCAGUUAUACAAAUAACUCCAGCCUGCAUGAAAUACCUUCUUGCUCCCCUUGACUUGUAAAAAUAACUUUGUUUCAAUGGAAAAGGUGUAGAAAAUGGACGUUGAAGCCAAUCAAACUCAUAGUAUCAAUACUUUGUGUUAAGCUUUAGGAGUAAGUUUUGUAAUCAUUGCAAUCAGCUUGUUUUUGUUAUUUAAGCAGCUUAAAAUGAUUAAGAUAAUCUGACAUAUUAGCCUUACGAUUUUAUUUUGGAAUGAUAAACUAAUACUCAAUUUGUAAUUUUCACUUGAAAGUUGCAGAAUAAUUGAAUAUGUUCUUUAAAAGUGUUUGAAUAUUCAGAAGAAUCUAAUUUACUACAUGUAUAAACUAGUAUUAUUACAAGAGUUCAUUGAGAUAUUGAAGGAUUUUUCUUGCUUUGUUUGUAAAUGUUGCCCCAUCAGGCAUUUGAAGUGUUUGAGAAAGUCAAAGUUAUUAAAUUUGUAAAGAUAGUUAAAAAUAUUUUAGGAAAUCUUUUUACAUGUAUAAAGAUGGUCAGUUUGAAGAAAUUUAAUGUUUUUAAGUUUGUAAGUUGAUUGAACACUAAUCAAACAAGAAAAGCAAUUGUUCUCAUUUUUAUAUAAAAAUCACUAUAUUUACAAAUAAAAUAACCAGGUUUAUAGACUAAGCUUGAAGGCCUAAAACACAUUUUAAGUGUAAGGGCCAGGGGUAGGGGGGCAACAAAGAGCAAGAAGCCAAGAGGAGCUAAGAAACCGGAACCUGAGCUGCAGUCCCCAGAGGAAGGGACUUGCUUGGAAGUCUACUUCCUCCCAGAGGUAAGCUGUCGAGUCAUAUGGGAAAGAGGUAGUGAGACUAAUGGGCAGAAUCAGGGUCAUUCCUGGAUUUCUGUCUAAAACAGGGCAAAGAGGAGCAGGGGUAGGGCCCAGCAACAGGAUAUGGGUCUGACAGAGAUUCAAGAUGGGUAGCAGGGCCCUGUGUGGACAGAGGGUGCACAUAAGAAGACGUAAGAGGACAAUGGAGAGGCUACACCAUAAUGGAGAUGUCUGGCCACUUGGUGCUGAGAUAGAGA